GAAAUGCGAUAAGUAAUGUGAAUUGCAGAAUUCAGUGAAUCAUCGAAUCUUUGAACGCACAUUGCGCCCGCCAGUAUUCUGGCGGGCAUGCCUGUCCGAGCGUCAUUUCAACCAUCAAGCCCCCGGGCUUGUGUUGGGGACCUGCGGCUGCCCGCAGGCCCAGAAAACCAGUGGCGGGCUCGCUGUCACACCGAGCGUAGUAGCAAUCACCUCGCUCAGGGCGUGCUGCGGGUUCCGGCCGUUAAACAGCCUUACAAAACCCAAGGUUGACCUCGGAUCAGGUAGGAAGACCCGCUGAACUUAAGC
This 306-nucleotide unclassified non-coding RNA is filed under the name plant metagenome. RNAcentral's name for it is "partial contains 5.8S ribosomal RNA, internal transcribed spacer 2, and large subunit ribosomal RNA". The stretch from base 1 to 105 matches the Rfam family "5.8S ribosomal RNA", at positions 50 to 154 of the family's 154-position model. The record is from RNAcentral.